RNAcentral lists this non-coding RNA (103 nucleotides) under Arthrobacter sp. Its description in RNAcentral is "Glycine sequence". It matches the Rfam family "Glycine riboswitch aptamer". Rfam says of the family: This family represents the bacterial glycine riboswitch. RNAcentral also lists the same sequence under 1 other name. The record is from RNAcentral. Lineage: Bacteria; Bacillati; Actinomycetota; Actinomycetes; Micrococcales; Micrococcaceae.
CGAUCUGCAGCGGGAGAGCUCUGCCGUUGACGCAACACCGGCAGGCGCCGUAGGAGCAAAUCCUCCCCAGGAAUCUCUCAGGCGAAAGUACCGCUGCGGUUAG